CGAAGGUGGCAAGCGUUGUUCGGAUUCACUGGGCGUACAGGGUGUGUAGGCGGUUUGGUAAGCCUUUUGUGAAAGCUUCGGGCCUAACCCGGAAAGCGCAGAGGGGACUGCCAGGCUAGAGGACGGGAGAGGAGCGCGGAAUUCCCGGUGUAGCGGUGAAAUGCGUAGAGAUCGGGAGGAAGGCCGGUGGCGAAGGCGGCGCUCUGGAACGUAUCUGACGCUGAGACACGAAAGCGUGGGGAGCAAACAGGAUUAGAUACCCUGGUAGUCCACGCCCUAAACUAUGGACACUAAGUGUCGGCGGGUUACCGCCGGUGCCGCAGCUAACGCAUUAAGUGUCCCGCCUGGGAAGUACGGCCGCAAGGUUG
This 368-nucleotide ribosomal RNA is filed under the name uncultured organism. Its description in RNAcentral is "bacterial SSU rRNA". It matches the Rfam family "Bacterial small subunit ribosomal RNA", at positions 526 to 896 of the family's 1533-position model. The record is from RNAcentral.